GCCUGGGUGGCGGAAUUGGUAGACGCGCAGCUCUCAAAAAGCUGUGAAGCUAACACUUCAUGAGAGUCCGAGUCUCUCCCUAGGCACUA
This 89-nucleotide transfer RNA is filed under the name Candidatus Gottesmanbacteria bacterium RIFOXYB1_FULL_47_11. RNAcentral describes it as "tRNA-Leu". It matches the Rfam family "tRNA". From Rfam's summary of the family: Transfer RNA (tRNA) molecules are approximately 80 nucleotides in length. Their secondary structure includes four short double-helical elements and three loops (D, anti-codon, and T loops). Further hydrogen bonds mediate the characteristic L-shaped molecular structure. tRNAs have two regions of fundamental functional importance: the anti-codon, which is responsible for specific mRNA codon recognition, and the 3' end, to which the tRNAs corresponding amino acid is attached (by aminoacyl-tRNA synthetases). tRNAs cope with the degeneracy of the genetic code in two manners: having more than one tRNA (with a specific anti-codon) for a particular amino acid; and 'wobble' base-pairing, i.e. permitting non-standard base-pairing at the 3rd anti-codon position. The record is from RNAcentral. Lineage: Bacteria; Candidatus Gottesmaniibacteriota.